CCUGCUUUCAUUUGGUGCAUAGA
RNAcentral lists this microRNA (23 nucleotides) under Lingula anatina. Its description in RNAcentral is "Lan-Mir-29-P2j_5p* (star (passenger))". Lineage: Eukaryota; Metazoa; Brachiopoda; Lingulata; Lingulida; Lingulidae. The record is from RNAcentral.